AGAAAGAAAGAAAGGGAGAAAAGGAAAAAUCAAGGCUUUGAAGCUUUAAACUUUAAUAGGUAAGUCAAUCAAGCCCUUUUUACUUAAUUUUGAUGUUUUAGAAGUUUUAGAACAAAGUUUUGAUGAAAUUAAGUUGAUAUUUUGAAGGUUAUUAGAUUUCUAGAUAUCAUUCAUGUUGAAUAAAAUGAUGAAUUAUGAGUUUUAUUGAUAGGAAUUUAAGUUAGAAGUGGGAAAAGGAUUAAAUUAUAAAGAGAAAGUUAAGUUUUGACAUAGUAAGGACUAAGUUGAAAGAAAUUCAGAAUUUAAGUUUUAUGUUGAAUACGAAAAGUUGGAAUUUAUUUUAAGCAAGUAUAAAGAUGAAAACUUAAGUUAAUUUUGAAGAAAAAAAAUGGUUAUGGUGGAAGGACUAAAUUGGAAUUUAUGGAAAAGUUACAUGGAAAUCUUAAGAAUGUGAUAUUAAUGACUUUGAAUGAAUGUAAAUUUUUUUGUAGCUAACGUAGAGCCGGAAAUGUCAUCGAAGAAGGGGAAAGAGAAAGUGGACGAGGAUAUCGAGUAAACUCGAGAAUUAAGGUUUGUAUUUCUAUAAACCGAAUCUAAUAAUUAUUUGUUGAAUUUAUUAUUUAUAUGAAUGGUAAGUAUUAUUAUUAUGGUAUUGAAUUGAAUAAAAAUUCAUGAAUUAUUAGUGAUUAUUGAUAUUGAAUAGAAUAUGUGAAUAUUGAGUAGAAAAUUGAAAAAUGUAUAUUGCAUUGAAAUAGAUUUGCAUGUGGAUUGAUAUGGAAAAAUGUAUUAAAUUGGAUUGAAACUAAAUUACAAAUAAAAUUGAAAAGUUGAAAGUUUAUUGAAUACCCUAUUAACUUUAUCAGGCUAGUCGGAUAUAGAUGGCAUGCCAUAGGAUUGGAAGUGUUUAGGGAUAUUCUGACUAUGUGUCGAUAAGACACUAUAUGUGUCGACUACUGUGACUGUUCCGGAUUCGUUCCGAAUAGGUACUCCAUACCUGACUGUUACUGUUACUGUUCCGGAUUUGUUUCGACGAGGUACUUUGUGUACCGCUACUGUUACUGUUACCCUUACGGUAUAUUCCAGCUUUGGCUGAUGAAACACUGUAUACUAUCCCCUGUGUGUGGGUUGGAUCCGUGUAUCUGUCCAGGUUUGAGUCAUGUUAAUAGGGGUAAUGAAAAGUAUUAAAGACUGUCUACUACUAAAUAAUUAACUGUUACAGAAUAAAUGACUGAUACUGAAUAAAUGAAUAUUACUGAUUAACCGAUUAUUACUGUUGACUGAUUGGUACUAAACGAUAAAGAUCAAUUGGUUGUUACCAAAGAAUAUUGACUGUUAUUGAAAUGAGAUAGUACAGAAUAUUGAAUGAAAGUUGAAUAAUAUUACUACUCAAAUGAAUUGUAAAUAAAAGUACUGAAAAACUAAUUGUUACUAAAUAAUGGACUACUACUGAAUGUCUGAAUGAUACUGAACACAAGUUAUUACUGAAUAAAUAUGAAAAAUCGACGGAUAAUGAAUAAACAUUAAAACUGUAUACAUUUCAACAAAAGUGAUUAACAAGAUCUUAGCAUUAUAUUUCAAAAACAAAUGAUUGAACUAUUAGGAGUAAUAGAUUGAAUUCUCAAGGCUCGUUGAUAUAUGAUUUAUUAUUGACUUAAGUAUCGGUUUAUAGAAAUACCACUGAGUUCAUACUCAGCGUACGGUUUGUUUCCAUGCGCAGGUUAGGUUAAAGACAGAUCGUCGAAUCAGCAUCAUAAGCCGAUCCCGAACUCAAAAAGGUAAAGCAUGUUAAUCAUCAGUAAUGGCAUGUACCUAGGAUGUCUUAAGUGUGUUAUAUUGGAUUGUGA
RNAcentral lists this long non-coding RNA (1844 nucleotides) under Gossypium barbadense (sea-island cotton). RNAcentral describes it as "long non-coding RNA (GBAR_LNC010047)". Lineage: Eukaryota; Viridiplantae; Streptophyta; Magnoliopsida; Malvales; Malvaceae. The record is from RNAcentral.